UGCCUUUGUGACUUCAGCACCUGAUACUCUGUGACCCGGUCUCUUUACUCCGUGACCCAGCCACAUAGCCUUCCCCGAGGCAAUCGUUUUAACUGCUGUCCAGCUGCAGGUCGCGUUUACAAAAGACUGCUCUGCUUUUUUUGCCACCUUUCUGGACGUACAAGGAUCAUCUGGUCCACACCAAGAACAGUGACUACAACAGAAACAACGUGAGCAUCCACACUGAUGAGUGAUUGUGUUCUGCAAACAGACAAAUUUGGAUUUAACUGAUGGUUUGGUGAAUCACCCGGUUCUUGGAACAAGCGUACUAUCAACGAGUCUAUAGAGGACCCAGACACGAUGAGACCAGGAUUAAACAACCGCCUCCAUCUGUUUCCUACAGUGAGCUCCUCCACUCUUUCAUCAUCUUUAAGCAAUUACAUGCUGUAUUUCUUGUGCUCGGCCGUCAUGCCAAAGCCAGCUCAAACUCAUCGGGACAAAGACAUGCAGGGGGAUUGACAAUCUCACCAACAUCCUGUGUGAUCCCAUUAUCAGGACAUUCCUCCGUCCGGCUCUGGACACUCCUCCCCCGUCGAGGGGCCAAGUAGGGGACAACUUCUCUUUGCUUUCUUUAGUUUCCUAACCCAUUAAACCCCUCGGUCACCGUAUCUGCUCGUUAAUUGGAUUAAAUAAAAGAAACUCAAGCUAAACAAUUUCACAUUUGCUGAGAGCUCAAUUGUUCUUUUUUAGUCCCAUUUGCUCUCCUCACUUCGCUGUCCUCUGCUCUUUUUUCCUCUCGUGGGGCCCAUUGUGUAAGGCUAUAAAAAAAAUAAAAAAAAUAGCAGUGCA
This is a long non-coding RNA of Acanthopagrus latus (yellowfin seabream), 828 nucleotides long. RefSeq lists it as uncharacterized. The record is from RefSeq and is a predicted model, not a curated record. Lineage: Eukaryota; Metazoa; Chordata; Actinopteri; Spariformes; Sparidae. The transcript is spliced from 3 exons.